CUCUCUUCUCAGCCUUUUGGCUAAGAUCAGGUGAAGAGUCUUCUUCCAUUUCUCUCCUUAAUGUUUUAUAAUUUUUAUUUUAGAGAUCUUUCAUAUCCUUGGGUAAAUUUGGGCCGGCGCCGCGGCUCACUAGGCUAAUCCUCCGCCUAGCGGCGCCGGCACACCGGGU
This is a small nuclear RNA of Oryctolagus cuniculus (rabbit), 169 nucleotides long. Its record names the gene U2. It matches the Rfam family "U2 spliceosomal RNA". Rfam says of the family: U2 is a small nuclear RNA (snRNA) component of the spliceosome (involved in pre-mRNA splicing). Complementary binding between U2 snRNA (in an area lying towards the 5' end but 3' to hairpin I) and the branchpoint sequence (BPS) of the intron results the bulging out of an unpaired adenosine, on the BPS, which initiates a nucleophilic attack at the intronic 5' splice site, thus starting the first of two transesterification reactions that mediate splicing. The record is from Ensembl. Lineage: Eukaryota; Metazoa; Chordata; Mammalia; Lagomorpha; Leporidae.